UGGGGAAUUUUGGACAAUGGGCGAAAGCCUGAUCCAGCAAUGCCGCGUGUGUGAAGAAGGCCUUCGGGUUGUAAAGCACUUUUGUCCGGAAAGAAAUCCUUGGCUCUAAUACAGUCGGGGGAUGACGGUACCGGAAGAAUAAGCACCGGCUAACUACGUGCCAGCAGCCGCGGUAAUACGUAGGGUGCAAGCGUUAAUCGGAAUUACUGGGCGUAAAGCGUGCGCAGGCGGUUUGCUAAGACCGAUGUGAAAUCCCCGGGCUCAACCUGGGAACUGCAUUGGUGACUGGCAGGCUAGAGUAUGGCAGAGGGGGGUAGAAUUCCACGUGUAGCAGUGAAAUGCGUAGAGAUGUGGAGGAAUACCGAUGGCGAAGGCAGCCCCCUGGGCCAAUACUGACGCUCAUGCACGAAAGCGUGGGGAGCAAACAGGAUUAGAUACCCUGGUAGUCCACGCCCUAAACGAUGUCAACUAGUUGUUGGGGAUUCAUUUCCUUAGUAACGUAGCUAACGCGUGAAGUUGACCGCCUGGGGAGUACGGUCGCAAGAUUAAACUCAAGGAAUUGACGGGGUCAUAGCUGUUUCCU
RNAcentral lists this ribosomal RNA (583 nucleotides) under uncultured bacterium. RNAcentral's name for it is "partial 16S ribosomal RNA". It matches the Rfam family "Bacterial small subunit ribosomal RNA", at positions 355 to 1375 of the family's 1533-position model. The record is from RNAcentral.